AGAGAAGUUUGAGAACCUUAAGUAUUAAUCUAUGAUUUGAACACGAAAAGACUUGUCUCUCAAACAAAACAAGAAAAUAUUUUCCUAUUUUGAAAAUUUUUGAGUGCUAAUCAUGGCGAUCUCUCACGUUCAUCUUUUUCUUCUCCUCAUCCUAUCACUCUUCUUAUUACCUACUUUGCGGGCCAUCGAUUAUUCUGACUGCGGUGAUGUAAGUUCUCCUGUUGAAGUCACUAGUGUGGAGGAGAUACUUAAGGAUAAGGACAAGGCAAGCUUUAAAAUAUCCGGUUCAACAAGUACUUCAUCGACUCCCUUCGCAAAUUUUCUUUAUUUUUCUUCAAGUUUUUCACUUGUAGUUUAGUUUGUUUUGUUUUGCAUAAAGUUUUAACUGUGAACAGGUAAAAAUAUCACUGGAGGAGAUAUUUACGUGGAUGUUAAAGAGGCCUGAUUCGUUACUCUACUAGCAACUACGACUUAUGUGCAUGUAUGGCAUGCCCUGUUGCACCUGGUGCCUUCGUGCUUCCCCUAGACAAUCUUUUUCGUUCAUAUCCAAUGGUUAAUUUUCUUACAUUUAUUUUCUCGUAAUUGUUAAUAUUGCGUGAUAAAAGAUUAGGUACUGCAUAUGAAUUUUUGUUGCACGUAUAAUAAAUAUAAAUAAGAUAAAAUUAUUUUUAAAGGAAAAUAAAAUGAUGAGAACUAUUGGUCCAAUUGUUAAAAGACCCAUCAUAGGGUUAGAGGACUAGAGUUCGAAUCUUUCCACAGAAAAUGACAAGAAUAUUCGAUGUUCCACUUGCUCCAAAAUUGGUUUGGGGUUCGGUUCGAGAUCUCUCGGUCAUAAAAAAAAAACUAGGAAUGAUGUGUUCCACAAGGAAAAAACACAACAUCAAAUGUAUCUAUCACUUGUGUUCUUUUUGUUUUGGGUCAACCAAUUGUGCUUUCUAUCAUCAAAUUUCAACAGUUAGUUAGGUUUAUUCCACUUCCAUUGAAUAUAAUUUUGAAGAUCAAGCUCCUAGCCUGAGGCGGCGCAGUUGGAAAGCAUGUUACAACUACAAGAUUGGAGAUUGAAUUUCAACUAGGUGCAAAUAAAUCAUUCGAGCUACUCAAUUUAGUAGUUUAAUGAUUUAUCUGAUGGUGAAUUUGCGAGAAACUUCUUAUUAAAUAGCUUGUUCUACCCUAAGAUUAGUCAUAUUGCUCAACCAUCGAACCACAUAAUAGAACAAAUCAACAAACUAAGAAAAAGAUUAGUUAGAUAUUUUUAUUGAAAAAAUAUUCUUUCAUUAACACCAUUUUGUUGGCUCUAACGAUUUAUUAUUUUUUGCUCAUUUUUUAUAUUUACAGGUGACAUUCAAGGUUCAAUUAAAUAUUUUUGACGACUCUAAAGAUGUGAAUGAAAUAAUGUGCCUCACUUUCAGGUACAAGACUAAACGUUCCUUCGCGGUCUCUGGUUAAUCAAGUUGCCGGAUGAAAAAAUGUUCUCAAGUAUGAUCUCUUUAUAUUGUAUGAUAAACUUGCAUUAUGUAUGUUUUUUUCUUCUUCCCUUUUGUGUGGUAACCAAGAAACAAAAUAAGUGUUUGUAUAUAGUUCUUUAAUUUCGUUUGAUUUCUUUCAACCGGUGAUAAUAAGGUAAAAAAUCUAGACGCUUUCCUAGUAUAAAGCUCCAAGUUGCUAUGAAUAUGACUCAGAAUUGACUGGGA
Molecule: small RNA, 1691 nt
Filed under: Arabidopsis thaliana (thale cress)
Lineage: Eukaryota; Viridiplantae; Streptophyta; Magnoliopsida; Brassicales; Brassicaceae
Description: ncRNA (AT3G27884)
Source: RNAcentral